This is a long non-coding RNA of Columba livia (rock pigeon), 2276 nucleotides long. RefSeq lists it as uncharacterized. NCBI's taxonomy places the organism in Eukaryota, Metazoa, Chordata, Aves, Columbiformes, Columbidae. The record is from RefSeq and is a predicted model, not a curated record. The transcript has 2 exons.
CAGAGAUCAGAAGGUCUCCCCUCAGCUCCUGUUCUCCAGCUGAACCCCCCAGGUCCCUCAGCCGCCCCCAUCACACUUGUGCUCCAGCCACUCACCAGCUCCGUUCCCUUUGAACUCGCUCCAGCAUCUCAAAGGCUUUCCUGUCGUGAAACUUGCCCAAAACUGAACACAGGAUUCAAGGUUUGGCCUCACCAGUGCUGAGUGCAGGGGGAAAAAAACAUCUUCAUGUCUAAAUCUCGAAGUUCCUGAAACUGCAGGUUCAAAUACUGCAGAUGUUGCUGCUCCUAUUGCAGAAAAUCACCUGCACUUGUUUCACAGAUGCUGCUUGUGCAGGUGGCCAAGAGAAGUGGUUCUUCCUGCUGCCUUUCCCCUUCUGAGCAGGUGCGGGUACAACACCAACUGCAGUUACUUAAGCAUCUUCCUUACACUGAAACCUGAGUGCAGGGAUGAAUACAGAGAGAAGUGAGACAUUCUGAAAAUUAAACAGCAUUUUUAUUAUGAUUAUUCCAUCAAGGCUUGAUAAACUGAGUAGUUAGAAGUCAGUUGUCGGUUACAUAGUUCCAGAUAAAAAUAUCAGAAUCAUUCCUACAAAUACUUUUUUUCCUCUACAAGUAAAGCAAAGGACUUUUAUUACAAGAGGAGUUAUACUUCUAAACCAUCUAAAUUUGUCAGUUUUCAACUAAAUUUCUCAUUGUCCAGGUUUAGAACUUCAUAAAAGGCACUUGGAGCGGUUUUUCUGUUGCAUGUUUCAGGGCCAGUGCAUAAGUAUAAACCCUGGCGUCCACUGCAAGAUGUUCUUCUGCUACGAGUUCUGAAACACACACAAAAAAGAAGAUUAUGAGAUGUCAUUAAAACUUCUCUCCAUAAAUUAAGUCCCUUACUAAAAUGAAGAUGUAUAGCAUUCUAGUUCCUUUAAUGUAAUGGUUGGGCUUGCUGAUCUUAAAAGGUCUUUUCCAACCAAAAUGAUUCUUAAUGCCAACACAUAAUGCUAUCACUAUUACCUGGCCAAGUCUCUCACAGCUUUUUGUUUAAAAUGCCAUUUUUUAGGAUGGGAAAGGCCAUGAGGAGCUAUGAGAAGGACGCUAAUGGUUUCUCGAAGCAUUUAACGUGUCAGAAAGCUCUUACCAUCAAUUCUUUGCAGUAGGUCAUUCUUUGGAAGCGAAAUAACUUCCACAAAUUCUAGGAGAGAUGAAAAAAAAGACAAUGAUUAAAAUUAGUGAACAGCAGAGGAAAUCUGCCUCAGUGUCCUGUUUUGUACAAUUUUAAAGGGGAAACAAACUGGAUUAAUGUUCAUCACCAUCCAAAAGCUGUGAGUCCUCAUCACAAAAAGGCCGAUUAAAUGUGGGAAGGCAGUGACUGGGGUCACUAAAAACAAGUUUGGCAGAAAAAGCUGGGAAAAGCAGUGUAGCUGACAGCUGUGGAGGACAAGAAUCCUAAAAGGAGACCUGAGAAUGGAAAACAGAGGGUUCAAGGGGACUUUGGUUUGGCUGAUACUGGUGCAGUCGUGGGUUGUAGAUGAACCUGACUGAAGAUCAAACCAGCACAAAGAGUUUGUUCUGGAUGAAUGUGUGUUGGCUGACACCUCCUGUCUAUGUGAAUUAGUUAUCUCUGGGGCUUGGUCUGCAGCUGUUGUGGAUUCAGUAAUUUGUAUUUCCCAAGAUACUGUUACAAAUGAAGAUAUCUUGAAGAUAACUGAUGAAGUCAGGCCCCACAGGAAUUUUCAUGUCUAGGCCACAGUCAAUGUCAGGCAUGUUUGAUUUGAUUAGGGUCAGGAGAUAAGCCAGGCCCAAAUAGAAAAUGUCAGUCAGAUCUGGCUUUGAAGUCAAACUUGCCAUACAAAGAUCACACUUGUCCUUACUGUCACUGUGAGCUGUAACGUACCUCCAUCAUCUGCAAGAGAAAAGAAACAGUAGCAAGUUACAACUAAAAAGCAUUUUGACAGCUGACUGACCGUGAGUGACAACGGAGUUACUUCCAGGGACGAGCCACAACCAAGAGCAGUAUCUAGGUGCUCAAGCACUUAUGGUCCACACUGAACCUCAGAACCUAAACUGCUCAUUCUGGCUGUGCCAACAGCUGACCCUUAACAUCUAAGCCUCUCCUGUAAAUUUAGCAAAGAAACACAACUCUGCUGAUCUAGACUGCAAGAUAUGAUUUGAAGGACGUACGGCAUCUAAAUCAGCCGUGACAGAAGAGAUGCAGUGGUAGGGGAAACUCCUUUCAACCCGUUAUUUUGUUAUCUUCUCAGAAUUUUCAAAUAAAUGGUAUAAAACCCA